UCUUUCUCUUUCUUCACCUCGCAUGACAUGACAUCACCUGGAGUGUUGGAACUUACGAACUGUGGCACUGUGACACAUCAGUGUUAUGCUUCUGAACAUAUAUUUCUUUCUUUCCUGGCAACUCACUGCAGACCAGCGACCGGUGGCUCGUGGACCGGCACCGGUCUGCGGACCACCACUUUGAGAAGCACUGCUGCAGAGGAAACCUAAUUUAG
Long non-coding RNA from Gavialis gangeticus (Gharial), 215 nucleotides. RefSeq lists it as uncharacterized. The record is from RefSeq and is a predicted model, not a curated record. The transcript is spliced from 3 exons. Lineage: Eukaryota; Metazoa; Chordata; Crocodylia; Gavialidae.